GUGCUUGCUUUAGCAGCAUGUAGAACUCAAAUUGGAACAAUACAGGGAAGAUUAGCAUGGCCCUUGCACAAGGAUGACAUGCAAAUUUAUGAAGUAUUCCAUAUUUAA
This is a small nuclear RNA of Prolemur simus (greater bamboo lemur), 108 nucleotides long. The record is from Ensembl. NCBI's taxonomy places the organism in Eukaryota, Metazoa, Chordata, Mammalia, Primates, Lemuridae.